UACAGAGGGUGCAAGCGUUAAUCGGAAUUACUGGGCGUAAAGGGCAUGUAGGUGGUUUCUUAAGUUAGAUGUGAAAGCCCUGGGCUCAACCUGGGAACUGCAUCUAAAACUGGGUAACUAGAGUAUGGUAGAGGGAAGUGGAAUUUCUAGUGUAGCGGUGAAAUGCGUAGAUAUUAGAAAGAACACCAGUGGCGAAGGCGACUUCCUGGACCAAUACUGACACUGAGGUGCGAAAGCGUGGGGAGCAAACAGG
Molecule: ribosomal RNA, 253 nt
Filed under: uncultured bacterium
Lineage: Bacteria
Description: partial 16S ribosomal RNA
Rfam family: Bacterial small subunit ribosomal RNA
Source: RNAcentral